GCCCGGGUGGCGGAAUAGGUAGACGCAGCGGACUUAAAAUCCGCUGGCUUUUGGCCGUGCCGGUUCGAGUCCGGCCUCGGGCACCA
Molecule: transfer RNA, 86 nt
Filed under: Gammaproteobacteria bacterium
Lineage: Bacteria; Pseudomonadati; Pseudomonadota; Gammaproteobacteria
Description: tRNA-Leu
Rfam family: tRNA
About the family: Transfer RNA (tRNA) molecules are approximately 80 nucleotides in length. Their secondary structure includes four short double-helical elements and three loops (D, anti-codon, and T loops).
Source: RNAcentral